This 466-nucleotide ribosomal RNA is filed under the name uncultured bacterium. RNAcentral describes it as "partial 16S ribosomal RNA". It matches the Rfam family "Bacterial small subunit ribosomal RNA", at positions 28 to 507 of the family's 1533-position model. The record is from RNAcentral.
GAUGAACGCUGGCGGCGUGCUUAACACAUGCAAGUCGAACGAUGAAGCCCAGCUUGCUGGGUGUAUUAGUGGCGAACGGGUGAGUAACACGUGAGUAACCUGCCCUUAACUCUGUGAUAAGCCUGGGAAACUGGGUCUAAUACCGGAUAGGAGCGUCCACCGCAUGGUGGGUGUUGGAAAGAUUUAGCGGUUUUGGAUGGACUCGCGGCCUAUCAGCUUGUUGGUGAAGGAAUGGCUCACCAAGGCGACGACGGGUAGCCGACCUGGGAGGGUGACCAGCGACACUGGGCCUGCGAGACGCAGCAGACUGGUACAGGAGGCAGUAGGGGGGAAUCUUAUACAAUGAGCGCACGCGUGAUGCAGCGGCGUCGCGUGUGGGAUGACGUCCUUCGGGUUGAAAACCUCAUUCAGUAGGGACGCCGCGAUAGUGACGGUACCUACAGAAGAAGCACCGGCUAACUACGUG